This 253-nucleotide ribosomal RNA is filed under the name uncultured prokaryote. RNAcentral describes it as "partial 16S ribosomal RNA". It matches the Rfam family "Bacterial small subunit ribosomal RNA", at positions 524 to 776 of the family's 1533-position model. The record is from RNAcentral.
GACGAACCGUGCGAACGUUGUUCGGAAUCACUGGGCUUAAAGGGCGCGUAGGUGGGUGGUCAAGUCUGUGGUGAAAUCCUCCAGCUUAACUGGAGAACGGCCGUGGAUACUGACUGUCUCGAGGGAGGUAGGGGCGUGCGGAACUAUCGGUGGAGCGGUGAAAUGCGUUGAUAUCGAUAGGAACUCCGGUGGCGAAGGCGGCACGCUGGACCUUUUCUGACACUGAGGCGCGAAAGCCAGGGGAGCAAACGGG